Molecule: long non-coding RNA, 545 nt
Filed under: Heterocephalus glaber (naked mole-rat)
Lineage: Eukaryota; Metazoa; Chordata; Mammalia; Rodentia; Bathyergidae
Description: lncRNA (ENSHGLG00100046531.1)
Source: RNAcentral
UGUCCCGGGCAGUGGUGAAUGGUUCUCGGUGACGCAGGCUCCUAAACAGUUGAACAGACGCUGCGCUGCCGGCCUACGUCAGGGGAGACCAAGCAAACAGCGCUGCGGGAACCUUGGCUUCCCAACCCGCGGCCUUGUCCCUGCUGCACUCAGCGUGGGCCUCAGGGUGGGUGCUGGAGGCUGCGGAAAGUGGAGAUCGUGUCCUGCUGGAUCCUCCUGCAGCAGAGACUCUUCAGCUUCCAGAAAGGAUCCCCCAGCCUUCAGACAUAGACUCUUCAGCCUCCUCAAACACACUCACAUGGGACACUGCAGUGAGAUCCAGACCUUGGACUGGGUCCUUUGGUCUCCAGUGCUGAGACAGACCCUCUGCACUCUUCCUCAUCUGACUCUGUGGGUGGCCAUUGCAAGCCAAUCUUGUAAAUUCAUAUAUAUUUGUGUAGCUUGUGUUUUAUCUGCUUCUCUAGUAAAUAUUGACUGAUACACUGUCUCCAGCAGGCCUCUUGCCUUCUACCCCACCCCACCCGCAUGUUCUGUUUUUUGGUGAG